Molecule: long non-coding RNA, 779 nt
Filed under: Homo sapiens (human)
Lineage: Eukaryota; Metazoa; Chordata; Mammalia; Primates; Hominidae
Description: novel transcript, antisense to RNF212B
Source: RNAcentral
GAGAGCAGUCUACAGCCUGAGACCCAUCACUAGGACACAAUUGAAGAAACUGGUAGUUUUACCAAGGCUUUGACUGGAAUGGUGCACUUUCCUAUAAGGAAUCAAACUUGACUUAAGAAGCCAAUAAAGCCCUUGGAAAAACUGGCCUCAUAUUUUGUGUACACAGUCCGUGUACAGGGUUUCUGGCCUGUGGACAUGAGACUUCACAACCUGCUAAAAAUCUUCGUUCGGGACCUACCUGUCUAGGAAUAAACCAUCCUUGCCAUGAGAGAUCAAAUGAAACCUGAGACCAGAGAUUCAUUUUCUUGUAAAAUGCCUUCUCCAAAAGAUUUUUGAAAAGAAAGGGGGGAAAUAUGAAAGGAAAUUAAAGCUUGGGGCCCCCAAAUCACUAAGCUAAAGGGAAUAGUCAAGCUGGGAACUGCUUAGGGCAAAGCUGCCUCCCAUUCUAUUCAAAGUCACCCCUGUGCUCACUGAGAUAGAUGCAUAUCUGAUUGCCUCCUUUGGAAAGGCUAACAGAAUCUCAAAAGAAUGUAACCAUUUGUGUAUCACCUAUCUGUGACCUGGAAGCCUCCUCCCCACUUCAAGUCUUCCUGCCUUUCCAGACUGAACCAAUGUACUUCUUACAUAUAUUGAUUGAUGUCUCAUGCCUCCCUAAAAUGUAUAAAACUAAGCUGUACCCCAACCACCUUGGGCACAGGUCUUCAGGACUUCCUGAGGCUGUCACGGACACAUGUCCCCAACCUUGGCAAAAUAAACAAUUAACUGAGACCUGUCUCAAA